GAGGGUAUAGCUCAGUGGUAAAGCGCAUGUCUGGUAUGCAUGAAGUCUUGGAUUCAAUCCCCAGCACCUCCC
Molecule: transfer RNA, 72 nt
Filed under: Camelus bactrianus (Bactrian camel)
Lineage: Eukaryota; Metazoa; Chordata; Mammalia; Artiodactyla; Camelidae
Also listed under: 2 other names
Rfam family: tRNA
About the family: Transfer RNA (tRNA) molecules are approximately 80 nucleotides in length. Their secondary structure includes four short double-helical elements and three loops (D, anti-codon, and T loops). Further hydrogen bonds mediate the characteristic L-shaped molecular structure. tRNAs have two regions of fundamental functional importance: the anti-codon, which is responsible for specific mRNA codon recognition, and the 3' end, to which the tRNAs corresponding amino acid is attached (by aminoacyl-tRNA synthetases). tRNAs cope with the degeneracy of the genetic code in two manners: having more than one tRNA (with a specific anti-codon) for a particular amino acid; and 'wobble' base-pairing, i.e. permitting non-standard base-pairing at the 3rd anti-codon position.
Source: Rfam by way of RNAcentral